GUUUGAGAACGAGGAGCCGUUCAGGUUGCAGCAUACAUCCCAUACUCGUAAAACGUGUGCUGCAGAUGAGAGGCUGUUUAUCGUAGCGGAAUCUUGUUUAAGAGAGCUGCUAUCAGUGUGUCCUUCAUGCCAGCGAGAUGAUGUUGAAGCUGAUAUCACUCUCAAGGGCACCUGUGUAAGAGCAAAGAUGACUUGCGGUUGCCAAAAAGAAAGGCUGUGGUACAGCCAGCCAUGGGUGGGCAAUAGGCCACUGGGGAAUGUUUUGCUGUGCUGCGGGAUACUUUUCUCUGGUACAAACAUUGCCAAAGCCCUCCGGAUGCUGAAAAUUAUGGGAGUCCCAGCACUCAGGAGGUCCCAGUUCUACAAAACGCAGCAAUGUUAUUUGUUUCCUGCAGUAAACAAUGUAUACGAGACGAAGCAGCAACAACUGCUGGAGGAGCUGCGCCCAGUGCCUUUAACA
Long non-coding RNA from Ornithodoros turicata, 460 nucleotides. RefSeq lists it as uncharacterized. The transcript has 3 exons. The record is from RefSeq and is a predicted model, not a curated record. Lineage: Eukaryota; Metazoa; Arthropoda; Arachnida; Ixodida; Argasidae.